GCGACCCCAGGUCAGGCGGGGCCACCCGCCGAGCUUAAGCAUAUCAAUAAGCGGAGGAGAAGAAACUUACGAGGAUUCCCCUAGUAAGGCGAGCAACCGGGACC
Molecule: ribosomal RNA, 104 nt
Filed under: Linospadix monostachyos
Lineage: Eukaryota; Viridiplantae; Streptophyta; Magnoliopsida; Arecales; Arecaceae
Description: partial 26S ribosomal RNA
Rfam family: Eukaryotic large subunit ribosomal RNA
Source: RNAcentral